CUGUGACCUGUGGGUUUCCCUUUGUCAUCCUAUGCCUGGAAAUUGGGAUAAGGCAGGGACAGCAAAGGGAUGCUCAGCUGUCACCACU
RNAcentral lists this microRNA precursor (88 nucleotides) under Astyanax mexicanus (Mexican tetra). RNAcentral describes it as "mir-204 microRNA precursor family". It matches the Rfam family "mir-204 microRNA precursor family". The record is from Rfam by way of RNAcentral. Lineage: Eukaryota; Metazoa; Chordata; Actinopteri; Characiformes; Acestrorhamphidae.